UUGCCUCAGUAACGGCGAGUGAAGCGGCAAUAGCUCAAAUUUGAAAUCUGCUCUUCGAGCCGAAUUGUAAUUUGUAGAGGAUGCUUCGGCUUACGUUUCGGUCUAAGUUCCUUGGAACAGGACGUCAUAGAGGGUGAGAAUCCCGUCUGUGGCCGAGACUUCCGCCAUGUGAAGCUCCUUCGACGAGUCGAGUUGUUUGGGAAUGCAGCUCUAAAUGGGAGGUAUAUUUCUUCUAAAGCUAAAUACCGGCCAGAGACCGAUAGCGCACAAGUAGAGUGAUCGAAAGAUGAAAAGCACUUUGGAAAGAGAGUUAAAAAGUACGUGAAAUUGUUGAAAGGGAAGCGUUUGCGACCAGACUUGCCCGCGGAUGCUCAACCGGUCCUUCGGCCGGUGCACUCUUCCGCGGUCAGGCCAGCAUCAGUUCGAGUAGCCAGAUAAAGGCAUUGGGAAUGUGGCUCCCUUCGGGGAGUGUUAUAGCCCUUUGUGUAAUAUGGUUCAUUUGGACUGAGGCCCGCGCUUCGGCUAGGAUGCUGGCGUAAUGGUCGUAAGCGGCCCGUCUUGAAACACGGACCAAGGAGUCUAACAUCUAUGCGAGUGUUUGGGUGUCAAACCCGUGCGCGAAAUGAAAGUGAACGGAGGUGGGAACCUUUGGGUGCACCAUCGACCGAUCCUGAUGUCUUCGGAUGGAUUUGAGUAAGAGCAUAGCUGUUGGGACCCGAAAGAUGGUGAACUAUGCCUGAAUAGGGUGAAGCCAGAGGAAACUCUGGUGGAGGCUCGCAGCGGUUCUGACGUGCAAAUCGAUCGUCAAAUUUGGGUAUAGGG
RNAcentral lists this ribosomal RNA (822 nucleotides) under Tubeufia tratensis. Its description in RNAcentral is "LSU rRNA". It matches the Rfam family "Eukaryotic large subunit ribosomal RNA", at positions 75 to 922 of the family's 3401-position model. The record is from RNAcentral. Lineage: Eukaryota; Fungi; Ascomycota; Dothideomycetes; Tubeufiales; Tubeufiaceae.